This is a long non-coding RNA of Vigna angularis (adzuki bean), 419 nucleotides long. RefSeq lists it as uncharacterized. The transcript has 3 exons. Lineage: Eukaryota; Viridiplantae; Streptophyta; Magnoliopsida; Fabales; Fabaceae. The record is from RefSeq and is a predicted model, not a curated record.
UCGGCUAAAGAUAAAUUCUUCUUUAUUGAGUUCCAGGCUUAAAGCUGAAUUAGCAAUUGGGAUUGGGAUUCAGACAACUGAUAGAAAUAGAAUAAGGAUAACCUUGAAAUGAGUCCUAGCUUGAAAAAGGAUUUCAAAGAGAGUUAGAGGCGUUUCAAACUCUAGUUUGGAGAACAAACUUACCUUUUGACACCAAAUUUGAAGGGAUACUCCAAGUUUUGUCCAAGGUUGGGAGAAGGAAGGAAAGACAACAAUGAGUGUGCAAACCAAGAUGUUGGUAGGUCUGCAAAACAAGCCUUGUUAUCUUUCGGAACGAUUUUGUUUCUGGCUUAAUGGACAUGACUUUUACUCUAUUUAGUUAUUGUCUGUUGUUGAAUAUAUUUAUAAUGUAUUUUUUCCCUACAGUUGUAAUUGUUUUU